AUGCAGUUUCGGCCUCACUGUUCACCAUCAUUAGCUUCGUUAAAACUCCCUUCUCCAUUCGACCUUCUCCAAUCUUCGAUUCACUCUCCUCAGUCUCAACAUGUUCACGUCAGUCCAUUUCUCCGCCAUAAAUUAUUUUGUUCUGACCUUCUCACCACCACCAUAAACAACCAUAAUCUGCCUCACACAACAAUCUAG
Vicia faba (fava bean) is the source of this 198-nucleotide non-coding RNA. The record is from the annotation of a GenBank genome assembly. Lineage: Eukaryota; Viridiplantae; Streptophyta; Magnoliopsida; Fabales; Fabaceae.